This 402-nucleotide ribosomal RNA is filed under the name uncultured Haliscomenobacter sp. RNAcentral's name for it is "bacterial SSU rRNA". It matches the Rfam family "Bacterial small subunit ribosomal RNA", at positions 449 to 850 of the family's 1533-position model. Lineage: Bacteria; Pseudomonadati; Bacteroidota; Saprospiria; Saprospirales; Haliscomenobacteraceae. The record is from RNAcentral.
AACCACUCGAUUUAUCGGGUGCUGAGGGUACCAUCACAUUAAGCACCCGCUAACUCCGUGCCAGCAGCCGCCGUAAUACGGAGGGUGCGAGCGUUAUCCGGAAUCACUGGGUUUAAAGGGUGCGUAGGCAGUUUGAUAAGUCAAUUGUGAAAUUCCUCGGCUUAACCGAGUGGACUGCGAUUGAUACUGUCAGACUUGAAUCAGGUUGAGGUAGGCGGAAUGUGACAUGUAGCGGUGAAAUGCUUAGAUAUGUCAUACAACACCGAUUGCGAAGGCAGCUUGCUGGGCUUAGAUUGACGCUGAGGCACGAAAGCAUGGGGAGCAAACAGGAUUAUAUACCCUGGUAGUCCACGCCCUAAACGAUGUUUACUUGCUGUUCCUGUCUUGCAUGGGAGUGGCGAA